Molecule: long non-coding RNA, 751 nt
Organism: Talpa occidentalis (Iberian mole)
Lineage: Eukaryota; Metazoa; Chordata; Mammalia; Eulipotyphla; Talpidae
Exons: 5
Source: RefSeq, a predicted model, not a curated record
UCUUUUCUAGGUAGUAUUAGCAUUCCUAGUAACUUAUGUUUAUAUUUAAAAUUAUGUUUUGCAUAACAGUUUUGAUACGUAUUUUUAUCCAUGACAUAAUUCUGGAAAGAUCAUAAUUCUGAGAAAUCAGAAAACACUCAUACUUACAAGUGACUGUGAACCAAAUGCUAUUUAAGUCUAAAGCCCUGAUUCUUUCUACUACCUGGAGCUUCUUCAAAGGAAACUUGCAUUUCUGAUAGAUUCAUUCAAUGAACCCUAAGUGUCCAAGAGAAGCCAGAUACAACAUUAAAGAAUUAUUCAUGGAAUAAUUCAUGGAAUCUAUCUACCAUGAGCUAUUUCUAGUAUUAGAUAACUAUGUAAAUGAAAUUCCAACUUUGCACAAUGCUGCUAUAAUUUGAGAAUGUAGAAGGACAAAAGGAAUCAUCUCUACUGGAAGACAUAAAAGAGGUGCUACUUGAGCUAAGACAAGAUUGCUCAUGGUACAGAAACAUGGAAAAAAAUAGCAAUGGGUUGUGUCCUGAGUUAAAUGAAAAGUUGUGGAAGAUUCAGCUUGGAAGUAGAGAAGAAGAAGCUGAUUGUGAUAAUGAAGAUAGUGGUGGUGGUGAUGAAGAUGUUAACUGAGAUUAACUAUGUGCCAGCACUGUUCUAAGCCUUUUGUAUGUUGUCUUUUAAUCUUCAUACCACCAUAAAGUAUGGCAUAUUGUUAUUUUUUCAUUUACAAAUAAAGAAACUGAGGCAAAACUGAGAUAAU